This 163-nucleotide ribosomal RNA is filed under the name Theodoxus sp. RNAcentral's name for it is "partial 28S ribosomal RNA". It matches the Rfam family "Eukaryotic large subunit ribosomal RNA", at positions 1326 to 1473 of the family's 3401-position model. Lineage: Eukaryota; Metazoa; Mollusca; Gastropoda; Cycloneritida; Neritidae. The record is from RNAcentral.
CGCUUGAGCGUCGAACCUAUACCCGACCGUCGCAGCAAUACGAGCACCCCGGGCGCCAUGCUGCGACGAGUAGGAGGGCCGCCGCGGUGGCAUCGAAGCCUGGAGCGCGAGCUUGGGUGGAGCCGCCGCGGGUGCAGAUCUUGGUGGUAGUAGCAAAUAUUCA